AUUACAUUUCCAGGCCACAGAAACCACACUGGAAAGUUCGCGUCGCGUUACUCGCUGUCAGGGCCGGGGCCGGGACCGGAGGAGCAGCGCGGCGCGGAGCCCAGGCGGCCUCUCGGUGUCAUUAACAAAACAAACAAACAGCAUUGCCCAUAAUGAGCUCCGGCUUCGGGCGGAGGAGGGGUGAUUAAAGCAGGCUGCCAGGCGCUGGGGGGGCCCCGUGCCCGGCUAUCGCCGUGCUCCCACCCAACUCCUGCUGGGGAAGGGUGCCCCGAGCCCCCAGCGCCCGGUUCAGCGCUCAGCACCGCCUGGUCCGAGUCCUCAGCGCUCCCCAUCCCCGGCGAGGCUCUCACCCGAAGCUCACAGGCUUUGUGGUCUGGAGCCCUACGCCCCAGGAUCUCAACUGAAAACCUGCUCAAGAGCAUUCUUCUGCUGGUGGUUUCGGAAAGGGCAGAUUGCAGCAUUGCACCCAGGACAAGUCACUCACUUAUGGCUUACGUGCUGCUCUUCAUUACCUUCCAGCCUGGGCACAUCCGAGGAGCUCAACACUAUUCCCAGUCCCAGGACAGCUCUUCGCUCCCACUGCUGGUGCCAGCAACACUUCAGGUGCUCUUCUGGCUCCCAGCUCCCAACCCUGUAUUUCCUCAGAAGCCACUGGUGCCCAGAACUGAGGGCUGGUGCAAAGCCGAGCACAUUCCUGCACAGAGCUCAGUUGCCUUGCUGCAGGAACAACAUGGCAUGGCAGGGCACACCACGGCACUGCAUGACAUGGCAUGGCACAGUGUGGCCCCUCUGCUGGGCAGUGGUCCUUGUUCCUGAAGGAAUUCACCCGUGUGGGACCUGUGCUGUGCUGAGGGAUCCAGACGUGAGCAGCAGAUAUCUCCUCCGUGCCCAUCCCACGUCUACGUGAAAUACCCAGAGGCGCUGGCUCGCAGUGAGGGCUAAUGAGCGGAUUAUUGCAGCAUUUUAAAACUCAGCUGUUUCAUAAAUAGGGUUUACCCAGUGAAACCAAGAAGACAUUAAAAAAAAAAAAAAAAAGACGUUCACCCCCUUCUCCACACCUCAGCAGCUCCCUAAUAGCAGGCUCAGCAGUGCUUGAGGCCUCAUUUUUCAAACUCUCCUAUCUCAAAGACAUCGCUCUCCAUUACUAUCAAGCCUCUCCCUCCUGCUCCAGUUCUCCAGCACCCAGAAUCCAGGUGCACACUGUGCCACCAAGAGCAGCAUGGGGCUUUCAGCCUCAUCACUGCACGAGUCCAUGGGCAGGAGGGCAGCAGGGCUCAGUGCUGAGCACAGCCCUGUCCUUGCUGCUUGCAGCGGUCACCAUUCCCCAGGGCCAGCAGAGUGCUUGCAGGUCCCUGCAUCUCACUGGGAGCGUCUUCCAGGGGUGGCAUUGCAACAAGAUUGUCCCAGAGCUGCCCAUGGGGUAAGAAAAACCCAGUUAAUUGGUUAUUGUGCUGGCCUCAAGCACUCACGAAAGCAAUCAGCACCUGUUCCCUGAGCAGUGCCCUCUUGCAGGGAAUGUUGUGCGCUCUGUGUUCUGCUCUCCAGUGUCCCCACCACUUCCCCAAAGCAUUGCCAAGCAUAGGGUGUUCUGGUCACCUCUGUUUCUCCAGAGGGAGCAGGGAAGGCAGAAAGAGAGGAGCUGAGGAGCCAUCGAGAGGGGUGCAGAGGAGAGAUCUGUGUGUUGGAAACGUGGAACCGACACAGCGCGGCCUCGAAGGACCUUCCAAUUUAGGGCAAGCAGGUUGCUGCUAGGCAGGAAGAACAUUUAAAGCAAAGUGGGGUUCAAAUAGCUGACACUUCUUAGGCAAUUACUAUUAAAGUGAGCGUUGGCACCGGUGAUGGGAUGGCUGCUGGGAACACGCUGUGCUGGUCAGCACCUCCUUGCCGCGCCGGGUAACCGGAGCCCCGUCACUUUUCCCGCGGCAAACCUCCCCGACAAGCUCCAGCAAAAAGAACUGAUUCUUUUCCUCCCUACAUUCCUGCGACUGCAAUUUUCGUGGCCUCCUGUCCAAAGCGGUUCUGGCACGGCGUUAACGUGACGGACGGCAGCUGUGCUUCACCCAGCCUGCCUUGUUUGCCAGGGCCCCGCGUCCGUCAGGUUUGUCACCCGCUUUGAAAUUCAAUCCUCGGGAACCAAACUAGGAAGGCUUACGGUUGUUUCCCAUUCCUCUUCUCACCCAAAUAUGUACAACCUCAUCAGCAUUACGCUGCAGCUGGUUGAGAAAUUUCCAAGAGAGCGUUGUUUUGUUUUGGUUUUUGUCAGAAAAUGUUGAGCUGUCAAAACCGAGGAUUUGUGUCGAAAUGUAAUCGUUUUGACGAAACUGUCAUCGAGGAAAGUCUCUCAGCUCUGGGAUGGAGAGCUUGAUCAAACCCAGACAGAUUGAGGGAGACAACCAGACCCGCGCCAGCCAGCAGCGCGGUGCGGAUCAGCCAACACUGGUGCUGCAGCCCGGGCACCACUGGGCACCCAGCACAGGGCUGGCACUGCUCCACCUGCCCCUGCCUCUGUCUGCAAAAAUAUUUGGAAACAGAGACCUCUGGGAGGCCUCCACGAGCUGGGAUCACCGUGGUUCCUCUCGUUGGCUCCCGUGUUCCCAAGAAGGCCUCAGAAGCUCUGGGAUCACUCUAGCCAAGUAUUGCAUGCUGUUGCACUCAGCUCCUUUCCCCACCAGCUCCAUGCCCAGCAGUGCUGCAGGGGUCAGGGCCUGCAGCGUGGCAGCACCGGGGUGUUGGGCUGGCGGUGCAACAGGGGUUUGCUUAGAGAUUCCCCAGUCUCCGUGCUCAGCUGUCAUGGUGUUCCUCCUUCCAGCACUGCCCAUCUCUGCCUGCCCAUGUCCUAGGCCCACAGGGAUGCAGAGCCGCAUCGAGCCGCACAUCAUCUGGGCACAGCAACAUGUGGACACAGCAUCAUCCAGACAUGGCAUCCUCCAUGCACAGCGUCAUUCAGACACAGCUCCCUCCCCUCCGUUGUGUCUGCUGAUGCUAUCCUGUUACCUCUCCUUCCAGAGCUUUACAAUAUAGCCCACCAAUUACCUCUGAUGGAGAGGGCACCCACAGAACCAUCAUGACAAAUGAACACCCACAGAGGGAAUUUGGCCUCCCCUUGUGCUGGUCCAGCUCAGCCCAGCUGGAUCCUUCCUAUAUCCCCGUGAGCACUGCCUGUGCCCAUUGGUGAGCAAUGCUGCAUGUGAGCAAUGCACCGGGCGAGGACGUGGGCAGUGAGCGAGGCAGCUCAGCAUUCACCAGGGCUUGGGUUCCCCAUCCGUACCCUGGGGUUAAUGAUGACUGCUUCAGGAAAAUGCUUCAAAAUCUUUGGAUGAAAAUAUGUCUGCGAGCACAAAUUAUCCUGCUUAUGACACGAGGAGGUUUAUGGCCUGCACGGCUCUUAAUAAUGCAUUAAUUAUGCUUACAGUAUUAGAAGUGUUCUGUGAUUAAGCAAAUAAUUACAGAAAUAGAUGAGUAAAUGGGGCACUGGGUGCAGUGCUGGUUACUGAGCUUAUCCCAUCCUACACAUUUCCAGGCCUUGUUUUCAGUUGCUUACAGCUCUGCCAAACUUUAAUUGUUGGAGAUGAAAUUUUCCAUGCUGGCGUCUGCCUCAAGCUACAUUUUUCUGGGGAGUUUCAUCCCGAAUGGUUCAUCUGCUCCUGAGAACUAAACUCAUCAAAGUGUGCUGAAUCCUGGCAGCUGCUUCCUUGUGAUGCUCUCGUUCUUUGUCGGGUCUCCACGCAGCAGAGCUUCGAGUCUGGGGGGGCUCACUGACAGGGGUGUGCUCCUUGUGUCCUCUGCCUGGAGAACACGACCGAACGGGGCCAUGUGCUGAGCCUCAGCAAGCACAGCUCUCACUUUGCUGUGCCUCUGCCACUAAAAUGCAGUGUCCUGCUGGGGACAGGGGUGGUGAGGCAGCGAGAGGCAGGGGGGGCUGAGGCUGAGGCUCUCAGGCGCUGCCUGGGGACCAGCUCAUGGCCAGGUGACGCUGCCAGCAGCCCCAGGCAGGACUUCUCCUGCUGCUCGUACAGCUCGUGCUUCUCUCUUCUUGGGCAUUCAAAUCUGAGAUCACGGGAGCUGAUUUCAGAGACGCUAAACGUUUGUGGCUGCAGAGGAAGCCGUCAGAAGCUGUGCUUUGAACACAGAAAGCAUUAUAUAAAAGGCCAAGUACCAUCAAAAAAAAAAAAAAAUCAGCUGCCUCAAAUGGGGCACUUGAAAUUGCCAACUCUUUUAAUCUUUUGCUAUCGGUGCCUGAGCUCUCUUCGAGCACGCAGGGUGCAGCCAGCAGGGCUCCAUCGGUGAGAGCGGCCGCGCUGCCCCAGGGACGGAGCCUGGCGCUGGGGCAGCCUGAGGUUGGCACUUUGCUGGCGGCAGAGUGUGCUUGCAUGGGCGGUGCGGAGAGGACCCUACACAAAGACAGCCUCAGUCCAUCUUUUCCUAACUUGUGAGCUCUUGCCACCGUGGUGGUACUCCUGCGGUGCUGCGUGUGAGCGAGGAGCACUGUAGCACGUACUUGUGCCAAGGCACGGCGUGCAUGCAGCUCUCCCCGGCAUGCCUAUCCCUGGCUCCUCCUGCUGCUGGAGGACACUCAGACAUCGCUUUCUGUGAUUUCAGUGGCCAGAAACUCCUGUGCUCUCAGCAGCAUUUCUCGUGCCCUGCAAGGGAAAGUGUUAUCGGCUUCAGGAGCUCUCCUUGCCAGGAAGCUGUCAGCAUGGCUGUAAUCACACUGCUCAUGAAGAAUCCUCCGAGGCAUCCGCCUACGUUUUAACUCAUCUUUUUUUCAGCAGUAUUUUCUUUCUGACCAGAAAGUCAUAUCUUGGACCACAAUACGGCAACAGCAUCGCCCGUCUCUCUGAGCAGCUUGGUUCUCCCCUCUGCAGGCGGCUCCGCUUCCUCUCCUGUGUCACAUCCGAACACAAAUGUGCUGCUCAUGCUUCACGGUUGUCACACACACCCUGGGAAUUGUUUUGACACCGUUCCCAAUGGGUCAUCCUGCAUGGAACAUGUCGUCCCUAUCUGCGGUCCCACCAAGAGCCCGGGCAGGGGAUGCUGUGGGGAGGAGGCCGUGGUCCCACGCUGCUUUCAGGGGCCCUGAUGCAAUGCUCCAGAAAGUCAGAGUCUUUCUGUUGAUUGCAAAUGAAUUUGGCCAUCUCUGGUAAGAAUCUGAGAGUUUUGUUGGUUGCGUAUUUGGAAGGAUUCUCCUAGCCUUUGGGUUCGGCCUCUGCAAGGAUCAAGUCAGUGAGUCAGCACUGCUGAGACUUUUUGUAACCAUUCAGGUCGGAUGUUCAAACACAAACUGAGGACGUUGCUGCAUGGGCUUUGUUCUCGCACCGCGCUGGCAGUCAAGCUGGCACUGCUCUUUUCAUCUCAGCCCUCUCUUGCCUCAAUGCGGUGUGCCCGUCACUCGCUCUUGUUUAUUUUCACAAGCUAUUUUAGUCAAUCUGCUGAAGGAAUCUCGCUCGGCAAUGAGUGCUGACCUUGAGCCGCUCCUUUUCUUUCUCUCUCCUUUAUUUAAGAAUGUGCAAUGAAUUAAGACAUCACUUAUAUCUGCACUCUGUGCAGCAACAACGGCUCUCCAAUCGAGCAUGAAUGGCAGGUCUGCGGGCAGCACUGUCCUGGAAAUGUGAUAUUAUGGAAACGAGAGGUGACCUGCUUACAGACAAAACAAUGUGACGGGAAGAAUCCUGCCUCCCAAAUGGGACAUGACGGCUGUCGCCCGGGGGCCGCGCCGCUCACCUUGCAUCAGCAGCCCCUGACAGGUGGGGGGAGCACACGGAGCAGCAGGUCCCAGGCAGCGGUGAAGCGCUCAUCCCCACUUUCCCCUCCAAAAUCCACCUCCUGCCUUCCCCCUCCCUCCCUCGAGGUGAGUGCCAGCAAGCCGCCAGUGGCAUCGAGCUGUGAAACCUUUACUUGGCUCAAAGUUCUUCUCAUUGUAACCCGAGUAGGGCAGUGCAGCAUCGCUCACAGCGCUCCACCCUGGGCAGCGAUGCAGCGGGGGCAUGGGGUCCCAUGGGGUCCCACGGGGUCCAGCUGCCUGCACACCCCACGGGACCCACCAGCUGUAUGUCCCGUGGGAGCCAGCUGCCCACCAGCUCCAGACCAGCCUGCAGCCAGGAGCUACAUGGAGCCUGUGCCACAGCCUGAAACUGAGGGAGCUUGGAGGUUUGGGUUUAAUCACAUUCUGGAGGGGAGAAAGGGAAAUUCCUCAAAUCUCUUGCUUUUUCAGACCCUUCUAUACUCUGAUCUCAGAGGUACCAAGGAAUUAGCACAAACCCAUACCAAACAAUAAUAACCACAUUCAGCAUGCUUGCUUAGAAACUCAUGGAAACUCAAGGAACAAAAGGAAUCCAUGGUACUGUGAGCCCACACUGUCAUGGGACCGUUGCAUUUCUUCUCUCUCCUCUCUGUACUUGGCACUGGAGCUCUGCAGGGCCAUGGAGGGAGAAAUCUGUCCUGGGGGACCUAUCCUCAUCCCCGUCCCCAGCCCUUGUGGAGCCCAGCCCUGCAGAUGUGAUCAAUAAACCACAGAGCUGUGGACACCGCUA
Numida meleagris (helmeted guineafowl) is the source of this 6530-nucleotide long non-coding RNA. RefSeq lists it as uncharacterized. The record is from RefSeq and is a predicted model, not a curated record. Lineage: Eukaryota; Metazoa; Chordata; Aves; Galliformes; Numididae. The transcript has 2 exons.